GUCUUUUAUUGUUUAAUAUUUAAAGGUCUGGCCUGCCCAGUGAUUAAUUUAACGGCCGCAGUAUUUUGACUGUGCUAAGGUAGCAUAAUCAUUAGUUUUUUAAUUGAGGACUGGAAUGAAAGGUUGAAUGGAAAAAUUACUGUCUUCUUAUUUAUUAUUUGAAUUUUACUUUUAAGUAAAAAGGCUUAAAUUUUAUUGAAAGACGAGAAGACCCUUUAGAGUUUUAUAAAGAAUUGAAAUUAGGUUUAUUAGAAUAAAUUAUUUUUUAAUUUUAUAUUUGAUUGGGGUGAUUAUUAAAUUGAAAAAACUUUAAGUUGUUAAAAACAUUGGUUUAUGAAUAAAUGAUCCUUGUAUAAGAUUAUUAGAUUAAAUUACCUAAGGGAUAACAGCGUGAUUUUCUUAGAGAGUCCUUAUCGAUAGGAAAGAUUGCGACCUCGAUGUUGGAUUAAAAUAUGUAGUUAAGUGCAGAUGCUAACUAACUUGGUCUGUUCGACCAAUAAAAUUUUACA
Molecule: ribosomal RNA, 509 nt
Filed under: Phytorus dilatatus
Lineage: Eukaryota; Metazoa; Arthropoda; Insecta; Coleoptera; Chrysomelidae
Description: partial 16S ribosomal RNA
Rfam family: Bacterial large subunit ribosomal RNA
Source: RNAcentral